This 27-nucleotide non-coding RNA is filed under the name Bombyx mori (domestic silkworm). The record is from RNAcentral. Lineage: Eukaryota; Metazoa; Arthropoda; Insecta; Lepidoptera; Bombycidae.
CCAUGAAACAGAAGGACCUUACGACGC